AUUGAACGCUGGCGGCAGGCCUAACACAUGCAGGUCGAACGGUAGCACAGAGGAGCUUGCUCCUUGGGUGACGAGUGGCGGACGGGUGAGUAAUGUCUGGGAAACUGCCCGAUGGAGGGGGAUAACUACUGGAAACGGUAGCUAAUACCGCAUAACGUCGCAAGACCAAAGAGGGGGACCUUCGGGCCUCUUGCCAUCGGAUGUGCCCAGAUGGGAUUAGCUAGUAGGUGGGGUAACGGCUCACCUAGGCGACGAUCCCUAGCUGGUCUGAGAGGAUGACCAGCCACACUGGAACUGAGACACGGUCCAGACUCCUACGGGAGGCAGCAGUGGGGAAUAUUGCACAAUGGGCGCAAGCCUGAUGCAGCCAUGCCGCGUGUAUGAAGAAGGCCUUCGGGUUGUAAAGUACUUUCAGCGAGGAGGAAGGCGUUGUGGUUAAUAACCGCAACGAUUGACGUUACUCGCAGAAGAAGCACCGGCUAACUCCGUGCCAGCAGCCGCGGUAAAAGGG
Molecule: ribosomal RNA, 511 nt
Filed under: uncultured Enterobacterales bacterium
Lineage: Bacteria; Pseudomonadati; Pseudomonadota; Gammaproteobacteria; Enterobacterales
Description: bacterial SSU rRNA
Rfam family: Bacterial small subunit ribosomal RNA
Source: RNAcentral